AAACUCCUACGGGAGGCAGCAGUGGGGAAUCUUGGACAAUGGGGGAAACCCUGAUCCAGCCAUCCCGCGUGUGCGAUGAAGGCCUUCGGGUUGUAAAGCACUUUAGCAGGAAAGAAAGGUCGCUGGUUAAACCCCGCGAUAACUGACGUACUGCAGAAAGCCGAUUCCGCC
RNAcentral lists this ribosomal RNA (171 nucleotides) under Achromobacter xylosoxidans. Its description in RNAcentral is "partial 16S ribosomal RNA". It matches the Rfam family "Bacterial small subunit ribosomal RNA", at positions 333 to 501 of the family's 1533-position model. The record is from RNAcentral. Lineage: Bacteria; Pseudomonadati; Pseudomonadota; Betaproteobacteria; Burkholderiales; Alcaligenaceae.